Molecule: ribosomal RNA, 1161 nt
Filed under: Candidatus Phytoplasma trifolii
Lineage: Bacteria; Bacillati; Mycoplasmatota; Mollicutes; Acholeplasmatales; Acholeplasmataceae
Description: bacterial SSU rRNA
Rfam family: Bacterial small subunit ribosomal RNA
Source: RNAcentral
UUAAAAGACCUUCUUAUGAAGGUAUGCUUAAAGAGGGGCUUGCGCCACAUUAGUUAGUUGGUAGGGUAAAAGCCUACCAAGACGAUGAUGUGUAGCUGGACUGAGAGGUUGAACAGCCACAUUGGGACUGAGACACGGCCCAAACUCCUACGGGAGGCAGCAGUAGGGAAUUUUCGGCAAUGGAGGAAACUCUGACCGAGCAACGCCGCGUGAACGAUGAAGUAUUUCGGUAUGUAAAGUUCUUUUAUUGAAGAAGAAAAAGUAGUGGAAAAACUAUAUUGACGUUAUUCAAUGAAUAAGCCCCGGCUAACUAUGUGCCAGCAGCCGCGGUAAGACAUAGGGGGCGAGCGUUAUCCGGAAUUAUUGGGCGUAAAGGGUGCGUAGGCUGUUAGAUAAGUCUAUAAUUUAAUUUCAGUGCUUAACGCUGUCUUGUUAUAGAAACUGUCUUGACUAGAGUGAGAUAGAGGCAAGCGGAAUUCCAUGUGUAGCGGUAAAAUGUGUAAAUAUAUGGAGGAACACCAGAAGCGUAGGCGGCUUGCUGGGUCUUUACUGACGCUGAGGCACGAAAGCGUGGGUAGCAAACAGGAUUAGAUACCCUGGUAGUCCACGCCGUAAACGAUGAGUACUAAGUGUCGGGGUAAAACUCGGUACUGAAGUUAACACAUUAAGUACUCCGCCUGAGUAGUACGUACGCAAGUAUGAAACUUAAAGGAAUUGACGGGACUCCGCACAAGCGGUGGAUCAUGUUGUUUAAUUCGAAGAUACACGAAAAAUCUUACCAGGUCUUGACAUACUCUGCAAAGCUAUAGAAAUAUAGUGGAGGUUAUCAGGGAUACAGGUGGUGCAUGGUUGUCGUCAGUUCGUGUCGUGAGAUGUUAGGUUAAGUCCUAAAACGAGCGCAACCCUUGUCGUUAAUUGCCAGCACGUAAUGGUGGGGACUUUAGCGAGACUGCCAAUUAAACAUUGGAGGAAGGUGAGGAUUACGUCAAAUCAUCAUGCCCCUUAUGAUCUGGGCUACAAACGUGAUACAAUGGCUGUGACAAAGAGUAGCUGAAACGCGAGUUUUUAGCCAAUCUCAAAAAAGCAGUCUCAGUUCGGAUUGAAGUCUGUAACUCGACUUCAUGAAGUUGGAAUCGCUAGUAAUCGCGAAUCAGCAUGUCG